This 254-nucleotide ribosomal RNA is filed under the name uncultured bacterium. Its description in RNAcentral is "partial 16S ribosomal RNA". It matches the Rfam family "Bacterial small subunit ribosomal RNA", at positions 524 to 777 of the family's 1533-position model. The record is from RNAcentral.
UACAGAGGGGGCAAGCGUUGUUCGGAAUUACUGGGCGUAAAGGGCGCGUAGGCGGCCUUCUAAGUCGAACGUGAAAUCCCUGGGCUCAACCCAGGAACUGCGUCCGAUACUGGGAGGCUUGAAUCCGGGAGAGGGAUGUGGAAUUCCAGGUGUAGCGGUGAAAUGCGUAGAUAUCUGGAGGAACACCGGUGGCGAAGGCGGCAUCCUGGACCGGUAUUGACGCUGAUGCGCGAAAGCAUGGGGAGCGAACAGGA